GAAGAUCAGUAAUUAUCCUAUAAUUUAUCCAAAUUGUCAUACUUGAGCCCUGCAGAGUUAUCAAAUUUACAAAUCAUAUCCAUUGGCAUUGUGAAUGAGGUGGGGCUACAACUUUCAAUUUUCAAAACCCCUGAACCUAUUUUGCUAAAGCUUAGUCCAUCAUCUACUGUCACUUAGUUAACGAACAGCUGAUUCCAAAACUAUGCAAGAUAUGGGGAAAAUGUCAGAUGAAAGUCAGAAAGCCAACAGAAGAAUAAUGUUCUCUUGAUACACGCUUCUUUGGAUAAUUUUUUGAUCCAAUGGUGUAAAUGAUUACUGCUCUAGAUCUCCAAUGUAGAAGUCAUCAAUCAUGUCAAAAACUCUGGUAGCAUGUUGUGGCCCAUAAAAUCCUUCAGUUGAAUCAUCCCCAGCGUGUGUUAGAAUGGCAUCGCCACCAGGUUGUUCUUCUACGUAUGAGGUAACAUCAUACACCUUAUCCUUGAUAAUGAUCCAACACUCAGCUCUAUUAUUGUGCAGGGAUACUUCAGCUUUACUGUAAACUGUGUAUGCCUAAGAACAAGAAAUAGUUUAUUCAAAACAUAUAGAGUUAAUUAACACUUACAACUAGGAUAAAUGGUAUUAGAAAGAGAAAUAGAGGCGAUUAACAUCUUUGCUACAU
This 658-nucleotide unclassified non-coding RNA is filed under the name Hevea brasiliensis (rubber tree). Lineage: Eukaryota; Viridiplantae; Streptophyta; Magnoliopsida; Malpighiales; Euphorbiaceae. The record is from RNAcentral.